Molecule: long non-coding RNA, 462 nt
Organism: Vespula pensylvanica (western yellowjacket)
Lineage: Eukaryota; Metazoa; Arthropoda; Insecta; Hymenoptera; Vespidae
Exons: 2
Source: RefSeq, a predicted model, not a curated record
AAAAAUUCGAAACGACAUAGUUUGACGUCAGUUGUCUUAUAACAAUUUAUCAAAAUGGCCAAAAUUUACUUUCUUGCAUUCCUCGCACUUCUCGUCUUCAUUGCCGUAUCGGCACAAGAAGAACAAGAUAAGGGACCUGCUCUAGAUAUAAACGAAGAAGAAUAUAGCUGGCCUUGCUCAACAGGUGGAAACGCAUUAUGCAAUAGAUAUUGUAGGAGUAGAGGUACCAGGUUUGGAUCUUGUACUUCAACUAAGAAAUGUUUAUGUUACGUAUAAAGAUUACCACAAUUUAUUACUACGAUGAAUUAAUAACUAUCUGGACUUCAUGAACUUUCAAGAAUGAUAUAAUCAAUAUUAUUAAUUUGUAAUAAUCAAUGUUAUAAUACAUUCACAGAUGAAAUUGAAGAUUUUAUUUUAUUUUGUGAUUUUUUAUUACUCGCACAAUAAAUAAUUUAAUAAUUA